RNAcentral lists this ribosomal RNA (371 nucleotides) under uncultured organism. RNAcentral describes it as "partial 16S ribosomal RNA". It matches the Rfam family "Bacterial small subunit ribosomal RNA", at positions 527 to 896 of the family's 1533-position model. The record is from RNAcentral.
GUAGGGUCCAAGCGUUAAUCGGAAUUACUGGGCGUAAGGCGUGCGCAGGCGGUUGUGCAAGACCGAUGUGAAAUCCCCGGGCUUAACCUGGGAAUUGCAUUGGUGACUGCACGGCUAGAGUGUGUCAGAGGGGGGUAGAAUUCCACGUGUAGCAGUGAAAUGCGUAGAGAUGUGGAGGAAUACCGAUGGCGAAGGCAGCCCCCUGGGAUAACACUGACGCUCAUGCACGAAAGCGUGGGGGGGAGCAAACAGGAUUAGAUACCCUGGUAGUCCACGCCCUAAACGAUGUCAACUAGUUGUUGGGGAUUCAUUUCCUUAGUAACGUAGCUAACGCGUGAAGUUGACCGCCUGGGGAUACGGUCGCAAGAUUA